RNAcentral lists this ribosomal RNA (253 nucleotides) under uncultured bacterium. Its description in RNAcentral is "partial 16S ribosomal RNA". It matches the Rfam family "Bacterial small subunit ribosomal RNA", at positions 524 to 776 of the family's 1533-position model. The record is from RNAcentral.
UACGUAGGGUGCGAGCGUUGUCCGGAAUUAUUGGGCGUAAAGGGCUCGUAGGCGGUCUGUCACGUCGGGAGUGAAAACCCAGGGCUCAACCCUGGGCCUGCUUCCGAUACGGGCAGACUAGAGGUAUGCAGGGGAGAAUGGAAUUCCCGGUGUAGCGGUGAAAUGCGCAGAUAUCGGGAGGAACACCGGUGGCGAAGGCGGUUCUCUGGGCCUUACCUGACGCUGAGGAGCGAAAGCGUGGGGAGCGAACAGG